Molecule: long non-coding RNA, 547 nt
Organism: Daktulosphaira vitifoliae (grape phylloxera)
Lineage: Eukaryota; Metazoa; Arthropoda; Insecta; Hemiptera; Phylloxeridae
Exons: 3
Source: RefSeq, a predicted model, not a curated record
UAGCACUUGAACGUUACCAAUGUUGUUAUUUUUUGAACACCUUAAAUAUUUCAAGUUGGAAAACUUACCUCUAGAUUAAUAGUAAAUACAUGAACCUGAAAAUAUAAACAUUUUUAAAAAAAUUGAAUAAACAGUAAAAUGAAGAUGCCAUAUGCUUAUAUAGUUUCGAAAUGAUCGAUUUUUUUAAUGGAAUGUUUUGAAAUGAAGCUGUAAAGGACAUAAAAGGCCAAAAGCUUUAGAGUACCUUAAAGAAUUUAGUGUCCUCACAGCAAAAAUGUUUUAAAAACUCUUCAAAACGCUUUAUUAUCUAACUAAAUAUUUGACCGUUUAAAGCUGAAUAUAUUUUAAUUCAUUUUUCUACUCAGAAUGGGAUGGAUACAUACUUUAUCAGGCCUUACUUCCAUGGGUAUCCAUUGGAUCAAGGAGGUCAUGUCUCUAGGAAAUAUACGAUCCCUCAAAUGGUUUAAAAAAAAUUGUGUAUAUAUUACUUUUAUGUAAAAUAAAAAUUAAUAAUAAAUACAUACGUCUUACCUACAAUAUUAUUGUA